This 918-nucleotide long non-coding RNA is filed under the name Cicer arietinum (chickpea). Its description in RNAcentral is "long non-coding RNA (CARI_LNC003159)". The record is from RNAcentral. Lineage: Eukaryota; Viridiplantae; Streptophyta; Magnoliopsida; Fabales; Fabaceae.
AUACUAUUAAAGAAUGAAUAAAGAAAAACUUUUGAAGAAAAGGAGCAAGAAGCCAAAAGAAAGGUACGAGGAAGGAUUACACUAGGAUGAGUCUAUAGUCAACAUCUUGAAAAGCAUCCCAACACUUUUUGAAAGCAACCCAUCAUAUCAUAGGCAAAGGCUACAUGUAGACUUAAAAGAUCACUCUUGUGAAGCUUUAACAAGGCAUUGAAGAAAUGAGAACGAAAAUGACUUCACAUAAACUUAUAAACAUUAAAGAAAGGAAAGAGAAAAGGAUAGCACGUGCCCCAAGUACCCAGAAAAUCUACUACCUCCUACUUGAACAUGGAUUGCAUCUAUCCAAGGAGCUGAAUGGCAUUUUCAUAAUUAUGAGGAAAAACCUUGGCAUUUCUAAAAUGGAUUUUCCAACGGUCAUAAAAAGCUUGACAUAUGAAAUGAACAUCAUAAGACCUCUAUAAAAUGCAGCAAGCUCAUCUUCAUCAAACACACAACACAUUGCAUUAAAAAGAUCAAAGAUCUUAAAGCUUUCAAGAAGCAACAUCCAUCCUCUCUUCAUACUUUCUACAAUCCUACAUUAGAUCUUUGUUAAUCUUUUGAGAAAGUAUUUAGAAUCAAUCACUCUUAUAUCACAUUGUAAUUUCCACGUGAGGUACACUUGGAAAUAUUUGAAAUCUGAUUGUAAGCUUGGUGAAGCUUAAGAAUACACAAGUUGUAAUCAUCAUCUGUUCGAGGUUGAUCUGUUUGAACAUUAGUGAAAUCUCACAAGGGUGUGAGGACUGGACGUAUCCAUCUUUGAGUGAACCAGUAUAAAAACAGUGUGUGUCAAUCUUAUAUUUCCGUUUCACUCUUUAGCUCAGUUCAAAUAUGAAGGUUUUGAAAAACCCAUCAUCGGGCUUGCCAUCCUCUGCAAGAGGAUAG